This 221-nucleotide long non-coding RNA is filed under the name Elaeis guineensis (African oil palm). RNAcentral's name for it is "long non-coding RNA (EGUI_LNC014048)". The record is from RNAcentral. Lineage: Eukaryota; Viridiplantae; Streptophyta; Magnoliopsida; Arecales; Arecaceae.
GAGUUCUCUCUAAAUUCAUUCCUACCACACCAUAUGAGUUAUGAUAUGGUAAGAAAUCAACUCUUGGGUACCUCAAGUUAGAGGCUAGAUCUUUUAGGGCUCGUUUUAUAGGGUAUCCUAAGAAAAUCAUUGGAUACUACUUCUAUAUUCUUGAGGAUCACAAUGUGAUUGUGAGCCAUUAUACCGUAUUCUUAAAAAAGAGUUUAUCCAAGAUGGACGCA